This 497-nucleotide ribosomal RNA is filed under the name uncultured bacterium. RNAcentral's name for it is "partial 16S ribosomal RNA". It matches the Rfam family "Bacterial small subunit ribosomal RNA", at positions 28 to 507 of the family's 1533-position model. The record is from RNAcentral.
GAUGAACGCUGGCGGCGUGCCUAAUACAUGCAAGUCGAGCGAACAGACGAGGAGCUUGCUCCUUUGACGUUAGCGGCGGACGGGUGAGUAACACGUGGGUAACCUACCUAUAAGACUGGGAUAACUUCGGGAAACCGGAGCUAAUACCGGAUAAUAUUUCGAACCGCAUGGUUCGAUAGUGAAAGAUGGCGUUGCUAUCAGUUAUAGAUGGACCUGCGCCGUAUUGGCUAGUUGGUAAGGUAACGGCUUACCAAGGCAACUAUACGUAGACGACCUGAGGGGGGGAUCGGCCACACUGGAACUGGGACGCGGUCCAGACUCCUACGGGAGGCAGCAGUAGGGAACCGUACGCAAUGGUCGAAAGCAUGACGGAGCAACCCGGCGUGAGUGAUGACGGUCUUCGGAUCGUAAAACUCUGUUAUUAGUGAAGAACAAACGUGUACGUAACUGUGCACGUCUUGACGGUACCUAAUCAGAAAGCCACGGCUAACUACGUG